CUCCACCUUCAAGGGUACUACAGGGUAAAAACGUCUGCGAGAAUAAUCUCGGCUUAAUCAUAGCCUGGUCGAUAGGUGCAGGUAUGCUAAAUAUCUCUAUGUCCACAAGAAUGAACGAAGCAAGGAUAUAGUGAAUCCACGUAGAUACAACAAGUCGGGAUUGUUUGCUGCAUUCGUACCUCGUGCGCAGUAUCGCCGAAGCGGCCUUUUCUGGCCGAGAAUGCCAUAAAAUUGCCGCUACCGUCUCCGUCCGGAAUGGAAUCGAAAAUAGAAGUGGCACAACGAGUAUUUCCAACUGUGAAUUCUCCCAAAACAAGAGAACAUCCUGUUCACGCACUACUGCGAUAUAAAAACGAUAGCAGCCAGCUGGAGGGUCGGAAAAAGUCCCGUUGUACCUUUCUUUACUCAGAACUUUUAACUAAUAUUCGCAUCGGCGCGGCGGGGAGAAGCGCAUGUCACACUGACCUCAAAAGAGGGCGAGAAUCUCCUCUGCUUCGUAUCCCGAUGUAGCCUAGGGGCAGUCGUUGACUGCAGUAGGCUACCGGUAGGAAGAUUUCGACCGAUGCCGUGCAAAGGCCGGGCUCUGCUGCCUUGUCGCAGUUGAGUAUAGCUCGGAGUAACUUCACGAGGUUUUAUGCUUCCCUAUGGAAGAAAGCUUCCCAGGUCUAGGGAGAAUCCCUUACAGUCCGAGUGAGACCAA
This 700-nucleotide long non-coding RNA is filed under the name Androctonus crassicauda. The record is from RNAcentral. Lineage: Eukaryota; Metazoa; Arthropoda; Arachnida; Scorpiones; Buthidae.